GACGAACGCUGGCGGCGUGCUUAACACAUGCAAGUCGAACGGGAAGGCCCUGCUUGCAGGGUACUCGAGUGGCGAACGGGUGAGUAACACGUGGGUGAUCUGCCCUGCACUUCGGGAUAAGCCUGGGAAACUGGGUCUAAUACCGGAUAGGAGCCAUUUUUAGUGUGAUGGUUGGAAAGUUUUUUCGGUGUAGGAUGAGCUCGCGGCCUAUCAGCUUGUUGGUGGGGUAAUGGCCUACCAAGGCGGCGACGGGUAGCCGGCCUGAGAGGGUGGACGGCCACAUUGGGACUGAGAUACGGCCCAGACUCCUACGGGAGGCAGCAGUGGGGAAUAUUGCACAAUGGGCGCAAGCCUGAUGCAGCGACGCCGCGUGGGGGAUGACGGCCUUCGGGUUGUAAACUCCUUUCGCUAGGGACGAAGCUUUUUGUGACGGUACCUAGAGAAGAAGCACCGGCUAACUACGUG
This 465-nucleotide ribosomal RNA is filed under the name uncultured bacterium. RNAcentral's name for it is "partial 16S ribosomal RNA". It matches the Rfam family "Bacterial small subunit ribosomal RNA", at positions 28 to 507 of the family's 1533-position model. The record is from RNAcentral.